Molecule: ribosomal RNA, 325 nt
Filed under: uncultured eukaryote
Lineage: Eukaryota
Description: partial 18S ribosomal RNA
Rfam family: Eukaryotic small subunit ribosomal RNA
Source: RNAcentral
CCCUUAGAUGUUCUGGGCCGCACGCGUGCUACACUGAUGCAUUCAACGAGUCUAAAACCUGGUCUGAUAGGGGUGGGUAAUCUUUUGAAUGUGCAUCGUGAUUGGGAUAGAUGAUUGCAAUUUUUCAUCUUCAACGAGGAAUGCCUAGUAAACGCAAGUCAUCAGCUUGCAUUGAUUACGUCCCUGCCCUUUGUACACACCGCCCGUCGCACCUACCGAUUGAAUGUUUCGGUGAAGAUUCCGGAUAGGACUUUUUUGAUUUAUUUCAAUUUUGUCUUAAAAGCUAUCUAAACCUCAACAUUUAGAGGAAGGUGAAGUCGUAACA